AUCGGUUUUUUGAACCGUCGACUUCACAUCGGAACACCGCCAUGAGUUGGCGCAUG
RNAcentral lists this transfer RNA (56 nucleotides) under Boodlea composita. Its description in RNAcentral is "tRNA-Trp". The record is from RNAcentral. Lineage: Eukaryota; Viridiplantae; Chlorophyta; Ulvophyceae; Cladophorales; Boodleaceae.